AUUGAACGCUGGCGGCAGGCCUAACACAUGCAAGUCGAGCGGAGCGGCGGACGGGCGGGUGAUGCCUAGGUAUCUGCCUGGUCGUGGUGGAUGACGUCCGGAAACGGGCGCUGAUACCGCACCAUCUCAGUCGAGGCUAGGUCGGAUUAGCUAGUUGGUGGGGUAAAGGCCUACCAAGGCGACGCUCCGUAGCUGGUCUGAGAGGAUGAUCAGUCACACUGGGACUGAGACACGGUCCAGACUCCUACGGGAGGCAGCAGUGGGGAAGAUGGGACAAUGGGAGAAAGCCUGAUCCAGCCAUGCCGCGUGUGUGAAGAAGGUCUUCGGGUUGUAAAGCACUUUAAGUUGGGAGGCGUUACCAACAGAAUAAGCACCGGCUAACUUCGUGCCAGCAGCCGCGGUAAUUC
This 407-nucleotide ribosomal RNA is filed under the name uncultured bacterium. RNAcentral describes it as "partial 16S ribosomal RNA". It matches the Rfam family "Bacterial small subunit ribosomal RNA", at positions 30 to 526 of the family's 1533-position model. The record is from RNAcentral.